Long non-coding RNA from Xiphophorus hellerii (green swordtail), 1673 nucleotides. RefSeq lists it as uncharacterized. Lineage: Eukaryota; Metazoa; Chordata; Actinopteri; Cyprinodontiformes; Poeciliidae. The transcript has 4 exons. The record is from RefSeq and is a predicted model, not a curated record.
CCAACACAAGGUGUUACAAACAGAGUAUGUCUGCAUCUACUGCCUCUGAUUGGCUCCCUGUAUCCUCCUCCAUCGCCACCAUCUCAACCAGUUUCUCUCUCUGGAGUCUGGACAGGCAGCCUUAAAGAGGCACCGCAUCAAAGCCGUCUCUCUUAACACUUUAACAAAAACAACAACAACAACAAAAAAACUGAUUUGUGUGGGGAAAUACAUGAACUAUAUUUAUAGUACUUUUUGAGUGUCUCUUUGGACAUUACCCGAAAGCGAAGAGGAAAUUUUAGUUUAUGGUGUCAGUCUUGGCAGAUGGCAUACUUAGACUGAGACACUUACACUGCAGGAGGUUUCUUCCUGUUUAAAAGGCAGUUUUCAGUUCCCCUGUCACCACAUAUAGUCACAGCAUGAGGGAUCGCUCCAAAGUAUCACCUCCGGAGGAGGGUUUACUGCAAAAUCUGUUUUCUAUUAGUUAUUCCCAGAAAUUAAUUCCCACCCAGCUGUCUCUCUUUUACCUCAAGCGUAAUAUUUGCAGUAGUUCAUGCAGCCUGCUGACGCCAGGUCUGCUGGUGCUCGCAAAGGAAAACUGUGGAGGAAAGUGUUAUUGAAAAAAAGAACAUUCUGACUAGUAUGAAGUUGCUCUUGACAUUUACGUUUCAAUCAAUCUUCAGACAAUUUUUAAAAAAAACAAAAUUGCUUUCUGUUUUAACAGGAAUGCAGAUUGGAUUUGCAGAGGAGACUGUUUGCCUGUGAAAGUGAAAACUACAGGACUUAGUUUGUGCUAACGAGAGAAGCGCUCCCCGUCAAACUUUAUUUUUCUUUUACAACAUGAUUUUAUACAUGUUAUUAUUUUAACCAUGAUAGAUCUGAAAUCUGUUUCACAAGAAAGACCUGGCAAAGAUGGCGUCUUGAGACAUGGAAAGAGAUAGAUUUAAUUCACCAAGUUGACUGUGCAUUUGUUUUUAUGUAUUUCUUUUUAUAUACAACAGAUGCUAAACAAUAACAAAAUGUAUAUCAAAACUGAAAUUUAAGAAGUCACAGAGGCUUCAUAGCUGGCAGACCAGCUAUGAAGGUGUAUUACUGCCACCUACUGACCUGGAGGGUGGGCAGGAGAUAAACAGGAAAAAAAACAAAAAACAAAGGCUGUUAAAUAAACUCAAUAAUUCAACUAAAUUCUUUCUAUUCUUUUAUUUUUAUUUUUUUUACAUUAAUUUGAUAUUUUCCUUUACUGGCAUCACUUCUGAAAAUGUUAAAACCGAGUCUCAUUGAGCCCUGGGUGACCUUUCUGAAGAGAGAGCCAAUUAAAGUUAAUGAGCUACAGCUGUGCCACAGGGAUUGGCCUUUAUAAGCCUCACAUGGUUACACCUGUAGCUUGUGGCAGGAACCAUGGCGUGUGUUUGUGUUCUUCUCUUUUGUGUGGUGGCAUUUAUGUGGCUUGACAAAGGAUUAUGUUUGCCAAUUGCUUCUGGAGAAGAGGGUCACAGGAUUAACAUCUUGAUGUCUCAACGUGAGAUUUCUAUGAAGACACUAACUGCCUUUCUGACGUCGAUGGAUUCCGUUUUACCACAGGGUGAAAAAGUGCAACUGGAAACAGCCAAGAGUGGAUUAAUUCCCUGUGAAGUAAAUAGCGCCGCCGCCGCCGCCCACCACAACGUGUCAAGCGACGCCGCCGCCGCCCACCA